This 1171-nucleotide long non-coding RNA is filed under the name Equus caballus (horse). RNAcentral describes it as "lncRNA (ENSECAG00000047238.1)". Lineage: Eukaryota; Metazoa; Chordata; Mammalia; Perissodactyla; Equidae. The record is from RNAcentral.
UGAUUUCCUGGCAGGUGUCAUGGAAGUGUCUUGAAGGAGGGGUGCCUUUUUCUGUUUUUAUGCAAAAGGGCCGUAUGGACUAGCAGUAUCCACUUUUUUAUCUUAUUGCACUUUGUUUAUCGAGGGCUAACUUUUUUUUUUUUUUUGACGAAGAUCAGUCCUGAGCUAACAUCUGCUGCCAAUCCUCCUCUUUUUGCUGAGGAAGACUGGCCCUGAGCUAACAUCCAUGCCCAUCUGCCUCUACUUUGUAUGUGGGACGCCUGCCACAGCAUGGCUUGCCAAGUGGUGCCGUGUCUGCACCUGGGAUCCAAAACUACGAACCCUGGGCCACCAAAGGGGACCGUGUGCGCUUAACUGCUGCACCACCAGGCUGGCCCCUGGAGAGCUAACUUUGUAUCAGCUACUAGUACAAGCAGUGUUGUGCUGGUAAUUAAGCUCUGAAAAAAAGCCCUGCAUUGCAGCGUUUGCCAGUUUCCAUGGUGUAAAUAUUUCCCCCCUCAGCCAAGUUCAAGGUCCUGAAGCUCUUGAAAGUGACUGUGGAAUUGAGAAGACGUGCUCGCGAUCAGCUUUCCUGAGCCAGUACAAGUUGGCUCCAGCAUACCACUGGUCAUAAAAGAUGGAAAUUUAGACACAGAAAAUCAGAGAGAACACAGUGUGACAGUGGAAGCAGACAUUGAAGUCAUGUAUCUACAAGUCAAGGAAUGCCAAGGAUUGCUGGAAACCACCAGAAGGUAGGAAAAGGCAAGGCAGGCUCCUUCCUUAGAGCCUUCACAGAGAGCGUGGACAUGCCAACACCUGGAUUUGGGACUUCCAGCCUCCAGAGCUGUGAGAGGCUAAAUUUCUGUUGUUUCAAGCUGCCCAUUUUGUGGUAAUUUUUUUAUGGCAGCCCCAGGAAACUAACCCGACAGGGAUCUUAAAAAUAACACUAAAUGCUAAUAAAUUCAAAUAGUGCCUACAUCACCAUCUAAAACUUCACUUCUAUUUAAAAAAUAGUCUUCUUCCCACGAUUUUCUUAGGGCAUUCUCAGCAGUGGCAUCUCUGUGGAUCGUUUAGAGUUUGACAUGUGUCGGUAAGCUAAUUUGAACAGUUUUUAUUUAAUUAAAUACAUGAUGGAAUUUAUACACUUUUCUAUCAAAGCAAUCACUUGAGGAAAUAUUUCACUUAAGCCAGU